UACGGAGGGGGCUAGCGUUGUUCGGAUUUACUGGGCGUAAAGGGCGCGUAGGCGGCGUGUCAAGUCGAUUGUGAAAUCUCCGGGCUUAACUCGGAACGGCCAAUCGAUACUGACGUGCUAGAGUGCAGAAAGGGCAAUCGGAAUUCUUGGUGUAGCGGUGAAAUGCGUAGAUAUCAAGAGGAACACCUGAGGCGAAGGCGGGUUGCUAGGCUGACACUGACGCUGAGUGCGCGAAAGCCAGGGGAGCAAACGGG
Molecule: ribosomal RNA, 254 nt
Filed under: uncultured bacterium
Lineage: Bacteria
Description: partial 16S ribosomal RNA
Rfam family: Bacterial small subunit ribosomal RNA
Source: RNAcentral